This is an RNA transcript of Drosophila hydei, 1192 nucleotides long. It is a transcript of the gene named chymotrypsin-2, with no coding region annotated. NCBI's taxonomy places the organism in Eukaryota, Metazoa, Arthropoda, Insecta, Diptera, Drosophilidae. The transcript has 4 exons. The record is from RefSeq and is a predicted model, not a curated record.
CAGUUUUUCCAUCAUGCCAUCGUCCGGACAACACCUGUGCGCGCUUCUAGUGCUGGCGAUUACCUGUGGAAGCGCCUAUGGCGCACCUCCGAUGGGUCGAGUGGUCAAUGGCACGGAUGCCACGAUAGAGAGCUAUCCCUUUGUGAUCUCGUUGCGUGGCGCAACUGGCUCCCAUUCCUGUGGUGGCUCGAUCGUCUCGAACCAGUUCGUGAUGACCGCAGCCCACUGCACGGACGGCCGCAAAGCGGAGCAGCUUUCCGUGCAGUACGGAGUGACGAAGAUCGGAGCCACUGGACCCAACGUGGUGGCUGUGAAGCGUAUCAUUCAGCACGAACUCUACAACCCGAGCAAGAACUACGCCAACGAUAUAUCACUGCUCCAGGUGGCCGAGCCCUUCAAGUUCGACUACAAGACCGUCGCACCUGUUCAGCUGCCAGCCCUAAACUUUGCCACGCCCCAGGUGGACAACGGCGGGGACGGCACGCUUAUUGGCUGGGGCCUCAACGAGACCGGUGGCUAUAUUCAGACUACGCUGCAGCAGGUGUCGCUCAAGGUGUACUCUGACGAGGAGUGCGUCGCGCGCCACAAGGGCUCCACGAACCCGCUCUAUCAUAUCUGCGGCGGGGUAGAUGAGGGCGGCAAGGGCCAAUGCAGCGGCGACUCGGGCGGCCCUCUGCUCUACGACGGCCAGCAGGUGGGCAUCGUGUCCUGGAGCGUCAAGCCCUGCACCGUGGCCCCCUAUCCCGGCGUCUACUGCAAGGUGGCCAACUACGUCGACUGGAUCCAGAAAAGCCAGAUAAUAUUGGCUUAGGCUUCUAGUCCAGCAGUGCCAAUUAGCCCCCAGUUUUAUUGGAGAUCAUAUAUUAAUAAUCCUAUCGCAUCGGCCUUAUCGACGUCGGCAUCGAUCAGCCCAUAAAUCAAUGUAUUGGAACAAUUCAACUUUGAUGCCGCCUUUCGAGAAAUAUAACUCAUUCAGUUCAAUGCAAAUCGAUUUCAUAUAUAAUGCUUGAUCAGUCUGACCCAAACUGUAAGCCAAGACAACAACCAGUGGUGAAAAGUCACUUUUAUAGCAAGUACAUUCACCACAGUAUCAAAUUCUGCUUAUUUUCAACACAUUAACACUGGUCUGUUAACUUACAUGCCUUUAACAUGUAAGUGUGUUUCAAACAUGUUUGAAGCUAGUCACAUACCG